This 253-nucleotide ribosomal RNA is filed under the name uncultured bacterium. RNAcentral describes it as "partial 16S ribosomal RNA". It matches the Rfam family "Bacterial small subunit ribosomal RNA", at positions 524 to 776 of the family's 1533-position model. The record is from RNAcentral.
UACGGAGGGUGCUAGCGUUGUUCGGAAUUACUGGGCGUAAAGGGCGCGUAGGCGGCCGUUUGCGUCGGAUGUGAAAGCCCGGGGCUCAACCUCGGAACGGCAUUCGAUACGGGACGGCUGGAGACCGGGAGAGGAGAGUGGAAUAGCCAGUGUAGAGGUGAAAUUCGUAGAUAUUGGCUGGAACACCGGUGGCGAAGGCGGCGCUCUGGACCGAGACUGACGCUGAGGCGCGAAAGCGUGGGGAGCAAACAGG